UACGAAGGUCCCAAGCGUUAUCCGGAUUUAUUGGGUUUAAAGGGUGCGUAGGCGGGUUAUUAAGUCAGUGGUGAAAGCUCCCAGCUCAACUGGGAAACUGCCAUUGAUACUGAUAGUCUUGAGUAUGAUUGAAGUGGGCGGAAUGUGUCAUGUAGCGGUGAAAUGCUUAGAUAUGACACAGAACACCGAUUGCGAAGGCAGCUCACUAAGCCAUAACUGACGCUGAUGCACGAAAGCGUGGGGAGCAAACAGGAUUAGAUACCCUGGUAGUCCACGCCCUAAACGAUGAUCACUCGAUGUGUGCGAUAAACUGUACGCGUCCAAGCGAAAGCAUUAAGUGAUCCACCUGGGGAGUACGACCGCAAGGUUGAA
This 372-nucleotide ribosomal RNA is filed under the name uncultured bacterium. RNAcentral's name for it is "bacterial SSU rRNA". It matches the Rfam family "Bacterial small subunit ribosomal RNA", at positions 524 to 898 of the family's 1533-position model. The record is from RNAcentral.